This is a long non-coding RNA of Brassica oleracea var. oleracea, 545 nucleotides long. RefSeq lists it as uncharacterized. The transcript has 5 exons. NCBI's taxonomy places the organism in Eukaryota, Viridiplantae, Streptophyta, Magnoliopsida, Brassicales, Brassicaceae. The record is from RefSeq and is a predicted model, not a curated record.
ACAUUGGUCGUCUCUAGCUUCUUUUUCUUAUUCCCUUCGUUUUAUCAAUUCCAAUUGCACAGAAACUAAAACUGUAGAGGUCAUUGACCUAGAUCUGGGACACAACAAUCUAUAAGAAACAGAAGAUGAAUCCUCAGACAAGUAUGGCUCUGCGUGAAGACCUCAUUCAAAGAACUGUCUAUGUGUCUGAUAUUGACUAACAGGUCACUGAGGAGCAGCUUGAUUGUUUGUUCAUCGGCUUUGGGCAGGUCUACGUCUCUUCUACAAGUUCAUAUUUGUUUGUGUCCUGUUUUUGGUUCUCAGGCUGAAGAUGAGCAUGAGAUGCGUGCGAGAACUAUCUACUACACUAACAUCGACACUAAGGUCACUCAAACGGACAUAAAACUCUUAUUUGAGGCUGCGUGUGGAGAGGUAUACCGUCUGAGGCUUCUGGGAGAUUAUCAUCAUCCCCAACUAGAAUCGGUUUCGAUGAGUUUGUCAUGGCUGAAAGUGCAGUAACUACUCUCAAUUGCAGUGGCGUGCUUCUUGGCUCUUUACAGAUAAGG